UAACAAGGUAUCUGUAGGUGAACCUGCAGAUGGAUCAUUUCGAUGAAAACCUUUUUUUUCUUGAGGUGUGGCUCGCACCUGUCUAACUAAACUUGAGCUACCUUUUUUCAACACGGUUGCAUCGGUUGGCCUGUCAAACAGUGCGGCGGCGUGAAUUUUCACGUCUGCUUUGGCUGGGCGACGGACCGACACUUAAUCAACACUUUUGAUGAUCUAGGAUUUGAAUGAUAAAAGUUCAUUUUUACAAUGAAAUCGACUGGUAAUGCGGUCGUCUAAUUUUUAAAAACAACUUUUGGCAACGGAUCUCUUGGUUCUCCCAUCGAUGAAGAACGCAGCGAAUUGCGAUAAGUAAUGUGAAUUGCAGAAGUGAAUCAUCGAAUCUUUGAACGCACCUUGCGCUCCCGGCAGAUCUAAUCUGGGGAGCAUGCCUGUUUGAGGGCCGCGAAUUGUUUCGAACGACAAUUUUUUUCUUUUGAAGAGUUGGCGGAUCGGUAUUGAGGGUUUUGCCAUUCACCGUGGCUCCCUCGAAAUGCAUUAGCGCAUCCAUUUGAUAGGCAAGACGGACGCAAGCUCGAUUUUCGCUCUCUCUUCCCUGCCGGGUUUUGAUAAUAUCAGGACUUCGGAGAGGUUGAGAUGGGUAAGAGCUGGACGCAACGGCUUGCUGUUUGGAGUGCUUCUGAAACCCGCCCAUAUCGAGCUUUGCCUCGGAAGGGAUUUUAAUAAUUCAUCGGCCUCAGAUUGGUAGGACUACCCGCUGAACUUAAGCAUAUCAAUAAAGCGGA
Molecule: ribosomal RNA, 782 nt
Filed under: Ustilago striiformis
Lineage: Eukaryota; Fungi; Basidiomycota; Ustilaginomycetes; Ustilaginales; Ustilaginaceae
Description: eukaryotic LSU rRNA
Rfam family: 5.8S ribosomal RNA (bases 288-442)
Source: RNAcentral